AUGGCAACCAUACUAGAAUGCUUGCUUAGAUCAUGUGUUUGUAAAUUACAACAUUUCAUUAGUAAUGAAGUCAGACUACUCCUAGGGGUGGAAAAAGAUCUUAGUAAAAUCCUGGGACGAGUAGAAUUAAUACAAUGUUGUAUACAUGAUGCUGAGAGCAGGAGGACAAAAGAGCUAGCCGUUAACUACUGGCUUGGUCAAAUGAGAGAUGUUAUAUAUGAUGUUGAUGAAAUCUUGGACGUGGCUAGAUGUGAAGGAAGCAAGCUACUUCCUGACAAUCCUUCAUCAUCAUCAUCAUCAAGUAAAUUAGUUGCAUGGAAAGGCCUUUCAAUUUCAUCUAGCUUUCGUACCCUCAGGCCACGUUAUGAUGUUGCUGUUCGGAUUAGAAGACUCAACAAGAGGAUAGAGGACAUUACAAAUGACAAGAUAUUUUUAACAUUCACCGGUAGUACACAACCUACCAGAAAUGCUCCAAUAUCCAAAAUGAUAAGAAGUUCCGAGCUUGUUGAGCCUAACCUUGUGGGAAAGGAAAUCAUACAUUCUUGCAGGAAGUUGGUGGACUUAGUGCUUGCACACAAGGAAAGUAAGUCCUACAAGAUCGCUAUUGUUGGAACCGGAGGAGUUGGUAAGACAACACUAGCUCAAAGAAUAUACAAUGACCAAAAAAUAAAAGGAAGCUUCAAGAUGCAUGCAUGGAUUUGUGUUUCGCAAGACUACAAUGAAGAUACUCUUCUCAAAGAGGUUCUUCGAAAUAUUGGAGUGCAUCAUGAGCAAGGUGAAACCAUGACAGAGUUGCAGAGAAAGCUUGCAGAAACAAUCAAAGGCAAGAGUUUCUUUCUCGUUCUAGAUGAUGUGUGGCGCUCCGAUGUGUGGAUGGAUUUACUAAGAAUUCCAUUAAAUGAAACAGUUACCGGAGUAAUAUUGGUAACCACACGAGAUGAUCAAAUUGCAAUGAGAAUUGGUGUAGAGCAUAAGCAUCGAGUUGAUCCCAUGUCAAUAGAGGUGGGAUGGGAGCUACUUUGCAAGAGCAUGCACAUUGAUGAAGAGCAAAAAGUGCAAAAUUUAAGAAAUAUAGGAUUUGAGAUUGUUCGCAAAUGUUGUUGCCUUCCUCUUGCAAUCAAGGUUACCGCUAGUGCUUUGGUAUGCAAAGAUCAAACAGAGAAUGAGUGGAAAAAGUUUUUGGGAAAAUAUGCUGUCUCCCAAAGCUUACUCUCUGAUGAUAUUGAAAGAUGUCUGUAUCUAAGCUACGAUCAGUUGCCGCAUCGUCUAAAGCAGUGUUUUCUUUAUUGUGCUUUGUAUACAGAAGAUUCGGUCAUUCGCUUAGGUGAAGUUACCAGGUUAUGGAUUGCAGAAGGCUUUGUCGAGGAGCAGCAAGGCCAACUAUUAGAAGACAUAGCAGAAGAGUACUUCUACGAGCUUGUCCAUCGGAAUCUCCUCCAACCAUAUGACAGGUGUUUUGACCAGGCUAAAUGCAAAAUGCAUGACCUCUUAAGACAACUUGCUUGUAUUAUAUCAAGAGAAGAAUGUUUUAUUGGCGAUGUUGAAUCAUUAAGGAGUGAAAAUAUGUCAAAACUACGACGUGUUACUGCUGUCACUAAGAAGGACAUAUUGGUGUUACCUAGCAUGGAUAACGUGGAAGUUAAGGUGAGGACGUUCCUAACUAUUUGUGGUCCACGAAGAAUUGAGGAUACAUUGUUCAAGAGAUUUCCGCUCCUUCGUGUUUUGGUACUAAAUUACUCAUUUGUGCAAAGCAUUCCAGAUUAUAUUGGAAAACUGAUACAUCUACGCCUACUUAAUCUAGAUUAUUCUGGCAUAUCUUGUCUUCCAGAAUCCAUUGGCUCCCUAAAAAACCUUCAAGUGUUAAGCAUGAGAUACUGUGAUGCUCUGCAUAGCCUUCCAUCCGGGAUGACACAGUUGUGCACUUUAAGAUGUCUUUGUCUUACUGGAACAGAAAUAAAUCAUGUUCCAAGGGGGAUAGGAAAACUGAAGUUUCUCACUCAUUUACGAGGAUUUCCAGUUGGUAAUGGAAGUGAUAAUGCUGAUGUACAAUAUGGAUGGGAGUUGGAAGAGUUGUCUAGUGUGUCACAGAUGAGGUAUCUUCAACUGGUUCGAUUGAAAAGAGCGGCACAUCGUAGUUCGAAUACAGUGCUCGUGGACAAAAAACAUCUAAAAGAACUAGCACUGUCGUGGACUGAGCAUAGAGAUGGGUCAUAUUUGGAACAAGAUGUUAGCAAUGCUGAGAAGUUCAUUGAGGAUCUAAUACCUCCAAGCAACCUGGAAAACCUAUCAAUUUCCGGAUUCUUUGGUCGGCAGUUCCCCACCUGGUUUGGUACCGCCCAUUUGUCUUCAAUAAUACACAUGUACCUCGGAGAGUUACGAUCAUGUGUGAAUCUCCCAUCCAUUGGGCGGUUACCUAACUUGAAAUUUCUGAGAAUUGAUAGAGCAUAUGCAGUUACAAAGGUUGGACAUGAUUUUAUUGGUUGCAGGAAGGAUAAUGAGUUAGUUGUUUUCCCUAAACUUGAAUGGUUGAUCAUAAAAGAUAUGCCCAAUUGGGAGGAGUGGUCUUUUUUUGAUAAACAGGAAGAGGAUGGAGCUGCUAAGAUUUGUAGUGCUGAUGCCCAGUAUGCACAAUUGCAACUGCUGCCUCGUUUGGAGAAGUUGCAUCUAGUAGGUUGCCCAAAGCUGAGGGCUCUCCCUCGAUGGCUUGGAGUGGACACCACCAGCUUGAAGGAGCUCAAAUUAAUUGGAGCAAACAGUUUGAAGGCCGUGGAGGACCUCCCACUGCUCUCUGAGCUCAUUAUUAUUGAGAAAUGUGAAGGCCUUCAGAGGAUCUCCAACCUCCCUCAAGUGAAAGAACUGCGUGUACGUGGUAGUCCAAGCUUAAGCCAUGUAGUGGGGGUGGGAAGGUUGCAGCUGUUGGGGCUGGGUGAGGAUAUGCAAGAAAUCUCUUCCCGCUGGUUACCUGGGCUUCAAGAGCAACACCAGCGGCUUCAUGGAGAAGACCUAGAUGUCUACACCAUGUUUACCAGUUAA
RNAcentral lists this ribosomal RNA (3033 nucleotides) under Triticum aestivum (bread wheat). Its description in RNAcentral is "partial small subunit ribosomal RNA". The record is from RNAcentral. Lineage: Eukaryota; Viridiplantae; Streptophyta; Magnoliopsida; Poales; Poaceae.